AAACCCCGCUCACGCCGCCCUCUCUCCUUCCCGGCAGAGUUAUAUCCACACAGACGUCUUCCCAUCUUUGCUGCUGGAGCUGCCUUUCUCCAGCGAGGCCUUGGGUUUAGCACCUUGUUUCUCCUGGGCGGUGUUGGCCCUGUUCUGCUCCACCACGGUGCCCGCCGAGGCGGGGCUGCUGGUCCGAGAGGGCUGCGUGUUGGCCUGGGUGCUGCUGUAGCUCUGGAAGGCAAUGUCCAGCUGCUCCUGGGCCACCCGCAGGUGCUUGUGCAGCGUGGACAGAUCCGCCGGCAGGUUCUCGUCCGGGCUGGUGCACUGCUGCUCCUGAGCCACGUUGGCCAAGUUCUGCUCGUGGGCCAUCAGGCUGUUGGGGAUCUUGGUGGAUUUCUCGGAUUUGACGACCAGGUUGUACUCGGGAGGGCAGGAGAUGUUCUUGGGGUAGGCGUAGUUGUAGGGGGGCUGCCGGAAGCUGUUGAUCUUGCGGUUGCGGAUGGCGUCGCGGAUGGUCCCGAAUCCCAGGUGGAACAUCUCGCACAUGUUGAGCAGCAGGCACAGGCAGCUCACCACGUACAUCACCAGCAGGAAGAUGGUCUUCUCCGUGGGCCGCGACACGAAGCAAUCCACGGUGUGGGGACAAGGGACCCUGUUGCACACGUAAUACGCUUCCACCUCGAACCCGUAGAGCAAAUACUGCCCUAUCAAAAAGCACACCUCGAAGGAAGCCCGGGUGAGCAGCUGGAAGACGUAGAUUUUCAUCAGUCCCUCCUGCUGGAUGCGCCUCCUCCCGUCAUGCUUCUGCUGCUCCUUGGGCUUGGCCUUGGCCUUGUCGUGCUCGGCCGCGUCGUCCGAGAUCAUGGGCUCCUCCUCGUCGGCCUCCAUGGCGUCCUCCAUGUUGCGCACGGCCUGCCAGUUCAGGGCGAACUGCUUCUUCUUCUUGAAGCCCUUGAACUUCUUCUCCUCCUCGGCCGAGCGGGCGAUCCUGUGGAUGGCGUAGCCCAGGUACAUGACGGAGGGCGUGGAGAUCAUGAUGAUCUGGAAGACCCAGAAGCGGACGUGCGAGAGCGGCGCGAAGGCGUCGUAGCAGACGUUGUCGCAGCCCGGCUGCUUGGUGUUGCAGGUGAACUUGCUCUGCUCAUCGGAGUAGAUGGACUCGCCCCCCACCGCCGUCAGGACGAUGCGGAACACGAUGAGCACGGUGAGCCAGACCUUCCCCACGAAGGUGGAGUGAUUGUGAAUCUCUUCUAG
This 1245-nucleotide long non-coding RNA is filed under the name Catharus ustulatus (Swainson's thrush). RNAcentral's name for it is "lncRNA (ENSCUSG00005003884.1)". Lineage: Eukaryota; Metazoa; Chordata; Aves; Passeriformes; Turdidae. The record is from RNAcentral.